Molecule: ribosomal RNA, 253 nt
Filed under: uncultured bacterium
Lineage: Bacteria
Description: partial 16S ribosomal RNA
Rfam family: Bacterial small subunit ribosomal RNA
Source: RNAcentral
UACGUAGGGGGCGAGCGUUGUCCGGAUUUAUUGGGCGUAAAGAGCGUGUAGGCGGCCAGGUAGGUCCGUUGUGAAAACUCGAGGCUUAACCUCGAGCUGUCGGCGGAAACCAUCUGGCUAGAGUCCGGAAGAGGAGAAUGGAAUUCCCGGUGUAGCGGUGAAAUGCGCAGAUAUCGGGAAGAACACCCGUGGCGAAGGCGGUUCUCUGGGACGGUACUGACGCUGAGACGCGAAAGCGUGGGGAGCGAACAGG